Molecule: ribosomal RNA, 253 nt
Filed under: uncultured bacterium
Lineage: Bacteria
Description: partial 16S ribosomal RNA
Rfam family: Bacterial small subunit ribosomal RNA
Source: RNAcentral
UACGUAGGGGCCGAGCGUUGUCCGGAUUUAUUGGGCGUAAAGCGCUCGCAGGUGGUUCGUCGCGUCGUGCGUGAAAGACCCCGGCUCAACUGGGGAGGGUCGUGCGAUACGGGCGAACUGGAGGCCAGUAGGGGGAUGCGGAAUUCCGGGUGUAGUGGUGGAAUGCGUAGAGAUCCGGAGGAACACCAGCGGCGAAGGCGGCAUCCUGGACUGGUCCUGACACUCAGGAGCGAAAGCGUGGGGAGCGAUCCGG